UACAGAGGGUGCAAGCGUUGUUCGGAUUUACUGGGCGUAAAGCGCGUGUAGGCGGCGGCGUAAGUCGGAUGUGAAAUCCCUCGGCUUAACCGAGGACGUGCAUCCGAUACUGCGUCGCUUGAGUGCCGGAGGGGAUGGCGGAAUUCCCGGUGUAGAGGUGAAAUUCGUAGAUAUCGGGAGGAACACCUGUGGCGAAGGCGGCCAUCUGGACGGUAACUGACGCUGAGACGCGAAAGCGUGGGUAGCAAACAGG
This 253-nucleotide ribosomal RNA is filed under the name uncultured bacterium. Its description in RNAcentral is "partial 16S ribosomal RNA". It matches the Rfam family "Bacterial small subunit ribosomal RNA", at positions 524 to 776 of the family's 1533-position model. The record is from RNAcentral.